AGAGUUUGAUCCUGGCUCAGAACGAACGCUGGCGGCGUGCCUAACACAUGCAAGUCGAACGGGGGUAGCAAUACCUCAGUGGCGCACGGGUGAGUAAGACAUGGGUAAUCUGCCUCGAAGAGGGGGAUAACUACGCGAAAGUGUAGCUAAUACCGCAUACGCUGCAGGGAUGAUUUUCCUGCAGGAAAGGUAGGGGCAACCCUUCCACUUUGAGAUGAGCUCAUGCCCUAUUAGCUAGUUGGUGAGGUAACGGCUCACCAAGGCGAAGAUGGGUAACUGGUCUGAGAGGACGAUCAGUCACACUGGAACUGAGACACGGUCCAGACUCCUACGGGAGGCAGCAGUGGGGAAUAUUGCGCAAUGGGCGAAAGCCUGACGCAGCAACGCCGCGUGAGUGAUGAAGGCCUUCGGGUUGUAAAGCUCUUUCGGCUGGGAAGAAGGGCUUCAUGGUGAAUAGCCAUGAGGUUUGAUGGUACCAGAAGAAGAAGCACCGGCUAACUUCGUGCCAGCAGCCGCGGUAAUACGAAGGGUGCGAGCGUUGUUCGGAAUUACUGGGCGUAAAGGGUUCGUAGGCGGGAGGAUAAGUUGAGUGUGAAAACCCCGGGCUUAACCCGGGACCUGCAUUCAAAACUGUCCUUCUUGAGUAUCGGAGAGGGUUGUGGAAUUGCUGGUGUAGGAGUGAAAUCCGUAGAGAUCAGCAGGAACACCUGAGGCGAAAGCGACAACCUGGUCGAAUACUGACGCUGAGGAACGAAAGCGCGGGGAGCAAACAGGAUUAGAUACCCUAGUAGUCC
This 794-nucleotide ribosomal RNA is filed under the name uncultured bacterium. RNAcentral describes it as "bacterial SSU rRNA". It matches the Rfam family "Bacterial small subunit ribosomal RNA", at positions 8 to 796 of the family's 1533-position model. The record is from RNAcentral.